AUACGUAGGUGGCAAGCGUUAUCCGGAUUCACUGGGUGUAAAGGGCGCGUAGGCGGGGGUGCAAGUCAGAUGUGAAAUCUAUGGGCUUAACUCAUAAACUGCAUUUGAAACUGUAUCUCUUGAGUGCUGGAGAGGUAGACGGAAUUCCUUGUGUAGCGGUGAAAUGCGUAGAUAUAAGGAAGAACACCAGUGGCGAAGGCGGUCUACUGGACAGUAACUGACGCUGAGGCGCGAAAGCGUGGGGAGCAAACAGGAUUAGAUACCCUGGUAGUCCACGCUGUAAACGAUGAAUACUAGGUGUGGGGGGACUGACCCCCUCCGUGCCGCAGUUAACACAAUAAGUAUUCCACCUGGGGAGUACGGCCGCAAGGUUGAAACUCAAAUGAAUUGACGGGG
Molecule: ribosomal RNA, 396 nt
Filed under: uncultured bacterium
Lineage: Bacteria
Description: partial 16S ribosomal RNA
Rfam family: Bacterial small subunit ribosomal RNA
Source: RNAcentral